UACGGGGGGGGCAAGCGUUGUUCGGAAUUACUGGGCGUAAAGGGCGCGUAGGCGGUUUGCUAAGUUGAAUGUGAAAACUCUGGGCUUAACCCAGAGCCUGCAUCCAAAACUGGCAGACUUGAGUACUGGAGGGGAAAGCGGAAUUCCUGGUGUAGCGGUGAAAUGCGUAGAUAUCAGGAGGAACACCUGUGGUGUAGACAGCUUACUGGACCACUUCUGACGCUGAGACACGAAAGCGUGGGUAGCAAACAGG
RNAcentral lists this ribosomal RNA (253 nucleotides) under uncultured bacterium. RNAcentral's name for it is "partial 16S ribosomal RNA". It matches the Rfam family "Bacterial small subunit ribosomal RNA", at positions 524 to 776 of the family's 1533-position model. The record is from RNAcentral.